RNAcentral lists this ribosomal RNA (876 nucleotides) under uncultured bacterium. Its description in RNAcentral is "bacterial SSU rRNA". It matches the Rfam family "Bacterial small subunit ribosomal RNA", at positions 140 to 1003 of the family's 1533-position model. The record is from RNAcentral.
GGGAUAACAUUUGGAAACAGAUGCUAAUACCGAAUAAAACUUAGUAUCGCAUGAUAUCAAGUUAAAAGGCGCUACGGCGUCACCUAGAGAUGGAUCCGCGGUGCAUUAGUUAGUUGGUGGGGUAAAGGCUUACCAAGACGAUGAUGCAUAGCCGAGUUGAGAGACUGAUCGGCCACAUUGGGACUGAGACACGGCCCAAACUCCUACGGGAGGCUGCAGUAGGGAAUCUUCCACAAUGGGCGCAAGCCUGAUGGAGCAACGCCGCGUGUGUGAUGAAGGCUUUCGGGUCGUAAAGCACUGUUGUAUGGGAAGAAAUGCUAAAAUAGGGAAUGAUUUUAGUUUGACGGUACCAUACCAGAAAGGGACGGCUAAAUACGUGCCAGCAGCCGCGGUAAUACGUAUGUCCCGAGCGUUAUCCGGAUUUAUUGGGCGUAAAGCGAGCGCAGACGGUUGAUUAAGUCUGAUGUGAAAGCCCGGAGCUCAACUCCGGAAUGGCAUUGGAAACUGGUUAACUUGAGUGUUGUAGAGGUAAGUGGAACUCCAUGUGUAGCGGUGGAAUGCGUAGAUAUAUGGAAGAACACCAGUGGCGAAGGCGGCUUACUGGACAACAACUGACGUUGAGGCUCGAAAGUGUGGGUAGCAAACAGGAUUAGAUAUCCUGGUAGUCCACACCGUAAACGAUGAAUACUAGGUGUUAGGAGGUUUCCGCCUCUUAGUGCCGAAGCUAACGCAUUAAGUAUUCCGCCUGGGGAGUACGACCGCAAGGUUGAAACUCAAAGGAAUUGACGGGGACCCGCACAAGCGGUGGAGCAUGUGGUUUAAUUCGAAGCAACGCGAAGAACCUUACCAGGUCUUGACAUCCUUUGAAGCUUUUAG